GAUGAACGCUGACAGAAUGCUUAACACAUGCAAGUCAACUUGAAUUUGGGUUUUUAACUUAGGUUUGGGUGGCGGACGGGUGAGUAACGCGUAAAGAACUUGCCUCACAGGUAGGGACAACAUUUGGAAACGAAUGCUAAUACCUAAUAUUAUGAUAAUAGGGCAUCCUAUAAUUAUGAAAGCUAUAAGCGCUGUGAGAGAGCUUUGCGUCCCAUUAGCUAGUUGGAGAGGUAACGGCUCACCAAGGCGAUGAUGGGUAGCCGGCCUGAGAGGGUGAUCGGCCACAAGGGGACUGAGACACGGCCCUUACUCCUACGGGAGGCAGCAGUGGGGAAUAUUGGACAAUGGACCGAGAGUCUGAUCCAGCAAUUCUGUGUGCACGAUGAAGUUUUUCGGAAUGUAAAGUGCUUUCAGUUGGGAAGAAACAAAUGACGGUACCAACAGAAGAAGU
Molecule: ribosomal RNA, 451 nt
Filed under: Fusobacterium naviforme
Lineage: Bacteria; Fusobacteriati; Fusobacteriota; Fusobacteriia; Fusobacteriales; Fusobacteriaceae
Description: bacterial SSU rRNA
Rfam family: Bacterial small subunit ribosomal RNA
Source: RNAcentral